GAUUUCGGCUAGAUUAGGGUUUAGAGUGAAGGCAGUGAUGAUUAAAAACUACCUAUUUUAUGAGUAA
This 67-nucleotide small RNA is filed under the name Arabidopsis thaliana (thale cress). RNAcentral describes it as "ATSL191880". The record is from RNAcentral. Lineage: Eukaryota; Viridiplantae; Streptophyta; Magnoliopsida; Brassicales; Brassicaceae.